GCCUGAUGCAGCGACGCCGCGUGAGGGAUGACGGCCUUCGGGUUGUAAACCUCUUUCACCAGGGACGAAGCGCAAGUGACGGUACCUGGAGAAGAAGCACCGGCCAACUACGUGCCAGCAGCCGCGGUAAUACGUAGGGUGCGAGCGUUGUCCGGAAUUACUGGGCGUAAAGAGCUCGUAGGUGGUUUGUCGCGUUGUUCGUGAAAACUCACAGCUCAACUGUGGGCGUGCGGGCGAUACGGGCAGACUGGAGUACUGCAGGGGAGACUGGAAUUCCUGGUGUAGCGGUGGAAUGCGCAGAUAUCAGGAGGAACACCGGUGGCGAAGGCGGGUCUCUGGGCAGUAACUGACGCUGAGGAGCGAAAGCGUGGGGAGCGAACAGGAUUAGAUACCCUGGUAGUCCACGCCGUAAACGGUGGGUACUAGGUGUGGGUUUCCUUCCUUGGGAUCCGUGCCGUAGCUAACGCAUUAAGUACCCCGCCUGGGGAGUACGGCCGCAAGGCUAAAACUCAAAGAAAUUGACGGGGGCCCGCACAAGCGGCGGAGCAUGUGGAUUAAUUCGAUGCAACGCGAAGAACCUUACCUGGGUUUGACAUGCACAGGACGUGCCUAGAGAUAGGUAUUCCCUUGUGGCCUG
Molecule: ribosomal RNA, 637 nt
Filed under: Mycobacterium sp. Se3Pw_3375
Lineage: Bacteria; Bacillati; Actinomycetota; Actinomycetes; Mycobacteriales; Mycobacteriaceae
Also listed under: 3 other names
Description: bacterial SSU rRNA
Rfam family: Bacterial small subunit ribosomal RNA
Source: RNAcentral